Molecule: long non-coding RNA, 819 nt
Filed under: Homo sapiens (human)
Lineage: Eukaryota; Metazoa; Chordata; Mammalia; Primates; Hominidae
Description: novel transcript
Source: RNAcentral
GGGCCUUUGUCUCUCGCUCCCACCAGAGCUUGGAAUCCGUCUCUGCUCUUCUGCAUUCUCCACCUCGGGAGCCCCUGGGGACUCUGUGACGGCCUCUGUUGCCCUGUGAUCUGCAGGUCCGGAGAGACGCACAGCUAAGAUGUCAGGACAUCCUGGAAGCUGGGAAAGGAUCUCUUCCCAGGGUGAAAGGGGACUGAGGGCUUGGAAGAAAGAAGUUCUGAAAACAGACUCCCUGCCCUCAACCUGCUACCACCAAUGAUUUCCGCCUACUAAUGAACAUACCCACUAGGAAUGGGUGUGGCCAGAAUCUUCACAAAACAAGAAGACUUGAUCUGAGGAAUUACUCUAUAGUGGCUUUACCUCUAAAAUUUCUCACCAAAGAAUUACACAAGUGCCUAGAGGACUCCUGGAUUAUCCCUACCACAAACCCUGAACCUGAAGCAGCAACCUGGUCUCUCUAUCACCCUGGGCUUGUGGACUACCAAUCAUAAUCUCAUCCACCUGCAUGGACACAGGAAUAUGUCAGAACAUAACCCUGCCUGAAUCAGUAUCUGUAGCAUAAACCAGUCUUUCCAGCUACCAUGCACUGUCCCCCACUCACGGGUCCUUGAUAGCACCUUUCCCUCUUCUGUCUUUUGCUUUUCUACAAACCCUUUCUGAUGUGCACAGUGUGCCUCAGGUGCCUGAAUCCAGCACCUACUGGGAGUCAGAUGUCCAUGAGUUCAAGAUUAUAGCCCUAGACCUGGCUGUCAUAAGAACAGACAAAAAUUAGAAAUACAGUCUUCAUCCUUGAAAAUAAAAGAUUUUUCUCUUUCCUUU